RNAcentral lists this ribosomal RNA (506 nucleotides) under uncultured bacterium. RNAcentral describes it as "partial 16S ribosomal RNA". It matches the Rfam family "Bacterial small subunit ribosomal RNA", at positions 29 to 523 of the family's 1533-position model. The record is from RNAcentral.
AGUGAACGCUGGCGGCAGGCCUAACACAUGCAAGUCGAACGGCAGCACAGGAGAGCUUGCUCUCUGGGUGGCGAGUGGCGGACGGGUGAGGAAUAUAUCGGAAUCUACCCUUUCGUGGGGGAUAACGUAGGGAAACUUACGCUAAUACCGCAUACGAACUGAGGUUGAAAGCGGCGGACUGCAAGGCGUCGCGCGGAUGGAUGAGCCUAUAGCCGAUUAGCUAGUUGGAGGGGUAGAGGCCCACAAAGGCGACGAUCGGUAGCUGGUCUGAGAGGAUGAUCAGCCACACUGGAACUGAGACACGGUCCAGACUCCUACGGGAGGCAGCAGUGGGGAAUAUUGGACAAUGGGCGCAAGCCUGAUCCAGCCAUGCCGCGUGUGUGAAGAAGGCCUUCGGGUUGUAAAGCACUUUUGUUGGGAAAGAAAAGCGGUCGGUUAAUACCCGGUCGUUCUGACGGUACCCAAAGAAUAAGCACCGGCUAACUUCGUGCCAGCAGCCGCCGUAA